RNAcentral lists this long non-coding RNA (706 nucleotides) under Pongo abelii (Sumatran orangutan). RNAcentral describes it as "lincRNA". The record is from RNAcentral. Lineage: Eukaryota; Metazoa; Chordata; Mammalia; Primates; Hominidae.
GCCUCCCUUCCGAGGAGGCGGGGCUGGGGCGGGCGCAGGACUGCAGGCUGGGGCUCCGCCACCCGGCGCGAGCCCGCGCGUGGUUCCCAGCGAAGUCACCGGGCGGCUGGGCCCAUCGUGAGUAUUCUCCGCCCGCUGUCCUCCCCCUGCAGGCGGCAGCGCCCGUUUAUUUGAGCCAUGUGAAGAUGUGCCUGCUUCGCCUUCCAUCAUGACAGAAGUUUCCUGAGGCCUCCCCAGCUAUGCUCCCUAUACAGCCUGCAGAACGGUCGGCUGCCUCCAAUCCUGAGGUCAUCACUCAUCAAGAGGGGAUAAUCCCAGGGACAGCAGGAUCUGCUUCGUUACUUGGAUUUAGGAGCCAGAAACCCAUCAGGCAACUAAACAGUAACAAUGACCCACCAUUAAACACACUGAGAGAAGAGCAUGAUGAGGAGUUUGUACAAGAAAAAGCCAGGAGCGCUUGCUGACAAUGCUUACAGAGAUGCAGACUUCUAUGAGCUCUGCCUGUUGAACUGCAGUAAAAAUAGAUCUCCUUCCCCAGAGAUGCUUGGAUGUUGGCACAAUAUCAGUUCAGAUGAUAGUCAAUGCAUGGACUUAAUAGAGUGAAAAGACUUUGGACUGUGAAGUCAGAUUACCUGGGUCUGAAUUCUACUUCUUCUACUUCUUUGUAGUAUGCUUUCACCACAUUAAAAAUUGUCUGAGCCUCAAU